RNAcentral lists this microRNA precursor (180 nucleotides) under Asparagus officinalis (garden asparagus). RNAcentral describes it as "miR166b stem-loop (aof-MIR166b)". Its record names the gene aof-MIR166b. The stretch from base 17 to 162 matches the Rfam family "mir-166 microRNA precursor family". Rfam says of the family: This family represents the plant microRNA (miRNA) precursor mir-166. Animal miRNAs are transcribed as ~70nt precursors and subsequently processed by the Dicer enzyme to give a ~22nt product. Lineage: Eukaryota; Viridiplantae; Streptophyta; Magnoliopsida; Asparagales; Asparagaceae. The record is from miRBase by way of RNAcentral.
UGAAGAAGGAAAGUUGGGUGUUUGGAAUGAAGUUUGAUCCAAGAUCUUUUCGCCAUUGAUCUUGUUUUCAGUCCCAUAUAUAUUUUAAAAAAAAGAUACCGGGGUAAGUUUUAUUCCAAUAUUUUAGGGCCAGAUCUCGGACCAGGCUUCAUUCUUCACACCUUACUUUUUAUUGCAAAU